Long non-coding RNA from Leopardus geoffroyi (Geoffroy's cat), 661 nucleotides. RefSeq lists it as uncharacterized. NCBI's taxonomy places the organism in Eukaryota, Metazoa, Chordata, Mammalia, Carnivora, Felidae. The record is from RefSeq and is a predicted model, not a curated record. The transcript is spliced from 3 exons.
AUGAGCGGGAGAGCAGUGUAAGGCCCGAUUCAAACAAAGUGAAUGUUCUGACAUACCAUUUUGGGCAAGAACAGGUAACUGUGAGCAAUUCUUAGGUCCCUAAUUUUGUUUCAUUAUAUUUUUCCAUCAGGAUAUCGAAUCCACUACAUCACUGUAGACUUCCCAUUUUUGUGGACAAUAAAAAGAACGAUAUAAAUGAAAAAUAUCCAACACGUGGUUGAUUAUAUGGACGCCGUACACCUGACGUUCUCCUGAGUGACAGUUCUACACACCUCGUGGAUCUAGAGCACAAGAGGACAUCUGAAACGUUUUUAUUGAGGAAGAACUUUCCACCAAGCAUCACAAUCCACAGUAAGCACUGAAAACAUUUCCACCAAAGGUGAGGCUGAGUAAUCACACGUUGAGUUGCCUGACCCAGAGAAAUCCUGAGAUAUCUGCAGAGAGGCCGGCCUACUCCUACACAGCCACCGUGGCAUUCUUUACAUUCUUUACAUCAGCGAAAAAUGGCAAAGGUCCCCGUGUGUCCCCAUUAAGAAAAUGAUCCAAUGAGGCUCUAAAUGAGCAAGCUGUGUCUGAUUGUGUUGAUUAACAUGAAAACAGUGUCUAGACGUGCUAUGUAAAUUUUUCUAAUUUGCAUAAUAAAAUGUUACGACAAACUUCA